CUUUUCUAAACAGUGUAUAACGUAUUCUGAUAAAAUAUUUCUUUUUUUUUUUUUGUAAAAACAAAAAGAACUCCCACGUGUUGACAAAUUUCUUCGUGCAGAUUCAUUGGCCUUAGUAAUAAUAAUAACAAUUCAAGAUUUUCGCGUGCGGCUGCUAUGCAGCAUACACCAGAACCAGAAAUAUGCAGUAAACUCGUCCUCUGAAAUAGACCAGAAAGCAUCAGGCUCCUUGAACUCAAGAAUCAUAUCACAUCCUCAGCAUCACACCCCCACAAUAGAAAUCUCUUGGCCUGAUAAAUUCAAAAUCUCAAAAUAUUUUCAUGAGAAUCACCAGAAAAGACAGUAAUUAUGCACUUAAAAUGAAACCAGAAGAGAAUAUUCAAACCAUGAAGGUCUUAAUAGUGUAUAAUUUCACAUCUCUGGUGGAGUUCUGAGAUGUUUUGUAUCUUUUGAGUGAAAUAAUGCAGAGCAAACUGCUUCUCUUAAAGGAAAAGACACUUUGUACUUACCUCAUCUUCCACAAAGGCACUGUCACAGUUUGCAUAUGGAAGGUUUACUAUGCAGGAGAUAUGAUGCUGACAAGCUUUGUUCAUAUGCAUACUGAACGAAGCAAAAGAUGAAUGUAAGUGACAGCGUCAUCUCUCCUGCGUAGCAAAUCUUUCAAUGCCUUCACCACUAUCCUUCAUUCUUCACCAUCACUGUGUCUGUGUGUCUUCCAGGUAGACCAACCAGUGUCCAAUACUAUAUAUAUACACCACAACUUUUACAAUUUUUAAUUUACAGACUCUCACUACAUUGUGCUAAUUGAGUG
This 811-nucleotide long non-coding RNA is filed under the name Vigna radiata. RNAcentral describes it as "long non-coding RNA (VRAD_LNC002803)". Lineage: Eukaryota; Viridiplantae; Streptophyta; Magnoliopsida; Fabales; Fabaceae. The record is from RNAcentral.